GCCCGGGUGUCCAGCCGGCCCUUGCCCUGCCUGGCGCUCGGACCGCCACCUUUGCCGCCCCCUCGCCAGCCUCCGCAGCUUCCAGACUGGCCGGUCUGCGCGCCCACCCCUGCCUCCCGGACCGGCCACAGCCGGAGGCCGCGGAGGAGGGCCCGGCCGCGCAGAUCCCGCUUAUCGGGCCCAUCUCCCGUUACAUAAGGCCACCCCCCUAUCUCCGCGGGCCAUCGCCGCCGCAACCGCCGCGCCAGCGCCUUCUCCCACGCGCGGGGGCGCCCCUGCCCACCGCUCCCGGCAGGGCUUUUGGUGGCCAUGGGGGAUAACGCGCGUUGACUCACCCGGGCGGGGCUCCGGGAGUUGCACAGACCAAGGCAAAUGCCGUGGCCUCUGCUGUGGGGGUUUCUGGAGGACUUCUAGGAAAAUGAGGGAAGAGCAGGAAAAGGCGACAUGGCUGCAGGGGCCAGUCCCAGGAGCCGCCCUCCACAGCACUCAUUCUGCAGAAGGGAAAUUUGAGGCCCCCAGAUGGCAGGGGUUGAUCCUGCAGAGACUGGCUCCGCUCUGCAAUGGCAGCAUGGUAUGGAGCAUCAACCUGACAGCUGGCGUGUACUGUGCAGCCCUGGAAUCCCUGAUCAACGUGUCAGGCUGCAGUGCCAUCGAGAAGACCCAGAGGAUGCUGAGCGGAUUCUGCCCGCACAAGGUCUCAGCUGGGCAGUUUUCCAGCUUGCAUGUCCGAGACACCAAAAUCGAGGUGGCCCAGUUUGUAAAGGACCUGCUCUUACAUUUAAAGAAACUUUUUCGCGAGGGACGGUUCAACUGAAACUUCGAAAGCAUCAUUAUUUGCAGAGACAGGACCUGACUAUUGAAGUUGCAGAUUCAUUUUUCUUUCUGAUGUCAAAAAUGUCUUGGGUAGGCGGGAAGGAGGGUUAGGGAGGGGUAAAAUUCCUUAGCUUAGACCUCAGCCUGUGCUGCCUGUCUUCAGCCUAGCCGACCCCAGCCUUCCCCUUGCCCAGGGCUCAGCCUGGUGGGCCUCCUCUGUCCAGGGCCCUGAGCUCGGUGGACCCAGGGAUGACAUGUCCCUACACCCC
This 1082-nucleotide small RNA is filed under the name Pan troglodytes (chimpanzee). Its description in RNAcentral is "processed transcript". Lineage: Eukaryota; Metazoa; Chordata; Mammalia; Primates; Hominidae. The record is from RNAcentral.